RNAcentral lists this non-coding RNA (24 nucleotides) under Arabidopsis thaliana (thale cress). The record is from RNAcentral. Lineage: Eukaryota; Viridiplantae; Streptophyta; Magnoliopsida; Brassicales; Brassicaceae.
ACAGAAUGACCAAAUUACCCUCAU